Molecule: long non-coding RNA, 816 nt
Filed under: Sus scrofa (pig)
Lineage: Eukaryota; Metazoa; Chordata; Mammalia; Artiodactyla; Suidae
Description: lncRNA (ENSSSCG00025017486.1)
Source: RNAcentral
AUGGGGAGAGCUGGACCAGGAGACAUGAGUGAAGAGAGGAGGCGGUGUGAGAAUGUGGAGGAUAUGGCACUCAUCCAUGUGACUGUGUCGCACUGGGGCUUCAUAAUCUAUGAACUCCUGAGUCCACUGAGUUCUAGGAACUAUGGAACAGUUAGCACAAAUAAACUUCCUUUAGCUCUGUGUUUUCUGCGUCUUAAAUGAGAAACUAUCUUACAGCAAGGAUGUCCGUUCAAGAUUAUGUUUGUGCAAUGCUCUGGACCAAUUAGUAUCUUUACCUUACUGAAUUGAAGUGCUGGCCGUGCUGCCAUUGUGAUGUCUUGCAAGUACUGACCGUAGAUAUCAUCUAGACUAGAGCUUUAGGAUAUCAAGAGUACAAAAACAGGCCUGUUUAAUAUUAGCUUUUUGUGGUCAAGCUCCAAACUUGACCAUUGUUCCAAGGAGAUUUUUUAAAAAGCUUGCUUUUUGAGAUUGGAUGCAAAGGACAGGUCACAAGUUUGAAUUUCUGAGAAGACUUGAAAUCAAGCUGUAUGCAAUCCUGAAUUUCAUGGGUAGAAUGGCCAUGGAUUUGUUUUCCAGUUCUUAUAAAACAGAAUUUGUGAAACGGCCAUCAGAUGAAAUUAAGAAGAGCUAAAUGUAGAGAAAUUUAAAGGAAAUAUGACUUUUUAUAGUGAGUAAUAUACUUAAUGAAGUUAUUCUUCCAAACUUCAUAAGAAUGUAAACUGGUACAGCCACUAUGGAGAACAGUUUGGAGAUACCUUAGAAAUCUAUACAUAGAACUUCCAUAUGACCCUGCAAUCCCACUCUUGGGCAUCUAUC